Molecule: ribosomal RNA, 483 nt
Filed under: uncultured bacterium
Lineage: Bacteria
Description: partial 16S ribosomal RNA
Rfam family: Bacterial small subunit ribosomal RNA
Source: RNAcentral
AUUGAACGCUGGCGGCAUGCUUUACACAUGCAAGUCGAACGGCAGCACGGGCUUCGGCCUGGUGGCGAGUGGCGAACGGGUGAGUAAUAUAUCGGAACGUACCCAGAAGUGGGGGAUAACGUAGCGAAAGUUACGCUAAUACCGCAUACGAUCUAUGGAUGAAAGCAGGGGACCGCAAGGCCUUGUGCUCCUGGAGCGGCCGAUAUCUGAUUAGCUAGUUGGUGAGGUAAAGGCUCACCAAGGCGACGAUCAGUAGCUGGUCUGAGAGGACGACCAGCCACACUGGAACUGAGACACGGUCCAGACUCCUACGGGAGGCAGCAGUGGGGAAUUUUGGACAAUGGGCGCAAGCCUGAUCCAGCAAUGCCGCGUGAGUGAAGAAGGCCUUCGGGUUGUAAAGCUCUUUUGUCAGGGAAGAAACGGUAGAGGCUAAUAUCCUUUGCUAAUGACGGUACCUGAAGAAUAAGCACCGGCUAACUACGU